RNAcentral lists this long non-coding RNA (433 nucleotides) under Malus domestica (apple). RNAcentral describes it as "long non-coding RNA (MDOM_LNC011831)". Lineage: Eukaryota; Viridiplantae; Streptophyta; Magnoliopsida; Rosales; Rosaceae. The record is from RNAcentral.
UUGAACGGAGGACGGUCUUUGAGGUCAUUCACCCAAGACAAAAGUGCCAGGGUCUUCGGGCCUCAUGGAAAAACAGGAUUCGUGGUAUGAUCUGAUCGAUAUCAGAAUCACUUGUUUGUAGUCAGCAAUUAGGAUUCGCAGUGAAGAAAUUUCUUUGUGCAGGAUGUCCCGUCUUUCUUUAAAAAGUGAGGCUUUCUUAGUUCGUCCUACCUUUAACAUCCUACGGUUCCCAACUGUUUGAAGUGAUUAAAUAUGACUCAUAAGUAUGACAGAUCAUGAUCAUGAUCAUGAUCACGCAGUAAAAAAGAGCAGGAACCCCUUUUCAUCAAUGUACUGGAGGAUGACGGAGUGACUAGGAGGUGAUCACGGUGAUCGGGUUGCUCUCAUGAAUAAGAACAGGAACCCUUUUGUGGACAUGAUUGUAGGAUAGCCG